RNAcentral lists this ribosomal RNA (460 nucleotides) under uncultured bacterium. RNAcentral describes it as "partial 16S ribosomal RNA". It matches the Rfam family "Bacterial small subunit ribosomal RNA", at positions 338 to 795 of the family's 1533-position model. The record is from RNAcentral.
CCUACGGGGGGCAGCAGUGAGGAAUAUUGGUCAAUGGGCGCGAGCCUGAACCAGCCAAGUCGCGUGAGGGAUGACGGUCCUACGGAUUGUAAACCUCUUUUGCCGGGGAGCAAGCGUGCGUUCGUGAACGCGCGUCGAGAGUACCCGGAGAAAAAGCAUCGGCUAACUCCGUGCCAGCAGCCGCGGGAAUACGGAGGAUGCGAGCGUUACCCGGUUUUAUUGGGUUUAAAGGGUGCGUAGGCGGGAUGCAAAGUUAGCGGUAAAAUUGAGGUGCUCAACGUCGUCGCGCGGUUGAAACUGGCGUCCUUGAGUGGGCGAGAGGUAUGCGGAAUGCGUGGUGUAGCGGUGAAAUGCAUAGAUAUCACGCAGAACUCCGAUUGCGAAGGCAGCAUGCCGGCGCCCUACUGACGCUGAGGCACGAAAGCGUGGGUAUCGAACAGGAUUAGAUACCCCAGUAGUC